AGACAGGUGCUGCAUGGCUGUCGUCAGCUCGUGUCGUGAGAUGUUGGGUUAAGUCCCGCAACGAGCGCAACCCUGCCUUUAGUUGCCAGCAGUUCGGCUGGGCACUCUAAAGGGACUGCCGGUGUUAAACCGGAGGAAGGUGGGGAUGACGUCAAGUCCUCAUGGCCUUUAUGACCAGGGCUACACACGUACUACAAUGGCCGAUACAAAGGGCAGCGACACUGCGAGGUGAAGCCAAUCCCGUAAAAUCGGUCUCAGUCCGGAUUGGAGUCUGCAACUCGACUCCAUGAAGUUGGAAUCGCUAGUAAUCGUGGAUCAGCAUGCCACGGUGAAUACGUUCCCGGGCCUU
This 349-nucleotide ribosomal RNA is filed under the name uncultured Desulfobulbus sp. Its description in RNAcentral is "bacterial SSU rRNA". It matches the Rfam family "Bacterial small subunit ribosomal RNA", at positions 1032 to 1382 of the family's 1533-position model. Lineage: Bacteria; Pseudomonadati; Thermodesulfobacteriota; Desulfobulbia; Desulfobulbales; Desulfobulbaceae. The record is from RNAcentral.